Molecule: long non-coding RNA, 275 nt
Filed under: Sorghum bicolor (sorghum)
Lineage: Eukaryota; Viridiplantae; Streptophyta; Magnoliopsida; Poales; Poaceae
Description: long non-coding RNA (SBIC_LNC017527)
Source: RNAcentral
GCCUAGGAUUGGAACAACCGUUGGAGCCACUGCAACCCCUGGAGCGGAGACGGGCGCUCACCCGAUGACCUUUGGUGACUAGGGAGCUCCGAGCUCCCAAAAGAGCGCUGCACCCCGGGCGAGGUAAGUGCCAAACCUUGAUUUUUCUUUUUUGUUUUUCUCUUUCUUCUCAUUUGUAUCAUUUUUCUGCCAGCCAGAAGCACAAGGUGGCCUCGGUGGGGCUGGCGCCCCUGAAGGCCGUGAAGAGGGCGGCGCUGUCAACCCUCGGGUCAGCA